UAUAGUGCAAUGGAUAGCACGUUGGACUUCUAAUCCGAAGGCUGUUGGUUUAAGUCCUACCAGCUUAA
Non-coding RNA from Trichonephila clavata, 68 nucleotides. The record is from the annotation of a GenBank genome assembly. NCBI's taxonomy places the organism in Eukaryota, Metazoa, Arthropoda, Arachnida, Araneae, Nephilidae.